AGUGGCAGACGGGUGAGUAAAAAAUAGGUAACCUCCCUCCGAGAUGGGGAUAACCUUCCGAAAGGAGGGCUAAUACCGAAUGAGACCACGGUUGCUUUGGCAACUGAGGUUAAAGAUGGCCUCUACUUGUAAGCUAUCGCUUGGAGAUGGGCUUAUGCACCAUCAGCUAGUUGGUAGGGUAACGGCCUACCAAGGCUAUGACGGUUAGCUGAUCUGAGAGGUUGAUCAGCCACACUGGAACUGAGACACGGUCCAGACUCCUACGGGAGGCAGCAGUAGGGAAUAUUGCGCAAUGGAGGAAACUCUGACGCAGCGACGCCGCGUGGGUGAUGAAGGUCUUCGGAUCGUAAAGCCCUGUCGAAAGGGAAGAAAAACGAUGUGGCUAAUAUCCAUAUCGCUUGACGGUACCUUUAGAGGAAGCACCGGCUAACUACGUGCCAGCAGCCGCGGUAAUACGUAGGGUGCUAGCGUUGUUCGGAAUCAUUGGGCGUAAAGCGCGUGUAGGCGGUUAGUUAAGUCAGAUGUGAAAUCCCUGGGCUCAACCGAGGAAGUGCAUUUGA
Molecule: ribosomal RNA, 560 nt
Filed under: uncultured bacterium
Lineage: Bacteria
Description: bacterial SSU rRNA
Rfam family: Bacterial small subunit ribosomal RNA
Source: RNAcentral